RNAcentral lists this ribosomal RNA (1011 nucleotides) under Triticum aestivum (bread wheat). Its description in RNAcentral is "partial small subunit ribosomal RNA". The record is from RNAcentral. Lineage: Eukaryota; Viridiplantae; Streptophyta; Magnoliopsida; Poales; Poaceae.
AUGGCCAUGGCGGCAUCGACCUCGCGGUGGUCCAGCCUCCUGCCGGACCUCCUGGACCAGCUGAUCGCCCGCCUCCUGCACAUCGCCGACCGCGCCCGCUUCCGCGCGGUCUGCCGCUCGUGGCAUUCCGCCGUGCGCCUGCACGUCUCCCCUCGGCGGCGGCUCCCGUGGGUCGUCCUUCUCGACGGCACCUUCCUGACGCUCUCAGAUGGCGGCAUCCACCGCGCGCCCUUCGGCAAGAACACCGAGUGUGUUGGCUCAACCGGCGACUGGAUCGCCCUCGACUGUAAAGACGACGCUACGCAGACGCACACGUACAGGCUGCACAACUACUCUUCCGGCGUCACCGUCCCGCUCCCAGAGCUGGACUCCAUCAUCGGCAAUGUUCCGGAGGAUUUCGAGAUCCGCAAGGUGGUCAUGCGUUCGACACCCCAAGACCUUAUUGCUGUCACAGCAAACAUAUGGAAAUACCCUUUGAUCCUGUGCCGACCUGGGAAGGGAGUGUGGGUACCAAGGAUAUUGGCCAUGCCCUACUUUUGUAUCUGUGACAUUCUGUUUUCUGGAGACAACAAGCUCUAUGCGAUCACCAAGGCCGAGGACCUUUUUGCACUACAUCUUGCUGAGGACGAUGAUGGCAAGCCCACUGUUACCAAUGUCAAACGGAUCAUCAGGCAUGCUCCCGGCCAUGAGGACGAUAUGUAUGACGACGACAUGUGGAAGAGGUUGAGUGACAUCGAUUCAUCAAGCGACGAGAAAGCCCAUGAUGAAUUGGUUGGUGAAGAUAAUGACACCGACGAUGAUCGUCAACAUUUUGCUUCCAUGGAAGAAAAAACUUUUUCUGAAUGUGAAGAUGGUGCAAGAGAAGGGUGGAAUGAAAUCCACACCAGCAGGCACCUUGUCCAGUUAAAAGGUAAAUUGCUCAUGGUUAAGAGAGAGCGGCUUAUUGCAGCCAUCACUCCAACUCACCACACUCGUAAGGUCGAAGUGUUUGAGGCAGACAUGGAUGCAUGA